Molecule: long non-coding RNA, 901 nt
Filed under: Equus caballus (horse)
Lineage: Eukaryota; Metazoa; Chordata; Mammalia; Perissodactyla; Equidae
Description: lncRNA (ENSECAG00000049739.1)
Source: RNAcentral
GCCAGGUGGUGCCGUCUCACCUGGAAACGAGCUCCCCGGGUCAGGCGGGGAAACUGAGGCCCGCGGAGCCAGGCUGUCGUCCCCUGGAGCUCCUUCUGCUCCACGAGGGGCUGCUGGACAGCGCGCGGGACUCGCGGUUAAAUCUGAAUUUCAGAUAACAAAUAAUUUUAAGUUUACUGCAAAUAUUGAAAAUUUUUUCAUUGUUUAUCUGAAAUUGAAAUUAAACCAGACGCCCGGGGUUUAUCUCCAUAUCCCCUGGGGCCCAUCCACAUCCCCUCCCGGAUGGGCUUUCCCGGCAGAUGCCUGGUCCUGGCAGCCCAAAAGAUCAGAAAAAUAGUCAUCGCCAUCAAAUAGUAAUUGGAAAAAUCUCUGCCUGCCUCAAACCACGUCCCUCCCUGCUUGGAAGCCUCUCAUGGCUCCCGUCGCCCACCUACGGGAAAGACCCUACUCAUCUCCGCUGCUGGCAAGAUAAUUGUAGCCUCUCCUGCAGAGCCGUCUCCCUCGUUCCCUUCACCAGCUGCCCCGACAGUAACUCAGCAGCGUUUUGCAAAACCGCGGCACGGCAUGGCCACCAGGAGGCCCACACUGAGGCCACCCUCCCAUCUGACCCGGAUCUUCUUUUCCUGGGACCUGUGAGUGUGGUUAGCUCUCUGCGACUUUGUCACCUGGCUGCUACCCAGAUGGAACCAGACAUCGUGUCACCCGUGGGUCCUUCACGCUCGCCGAGAUUCCCGGAGAGCCACGUGGGGUGUUGUGUGUGUCUGUGGUGUGUUCUUGACCUUGUGCUGCUGAGCGGUGCUCCGUGGGGUGCAUGCACCACAGCGGGUUUCACCCCCCACCUGCCGAAGGACGCCUGGGGUGUCCCCAGUUUGGGGCUUUUGAUAAUAAAGCUGCUGCCGAC